Molecule: unclassified non-coding RNA, 404 nt
Filed under: soil metagenome
Description: partial contains 5.8S ribosomal RNA, internal transcribed spacer 2, and large subunit ribosomal RNA
Rfam family: 5.8S ribosomal RNA (bases 1-122)
Source: RNAcentral
GAUGAAGAACGUAGCAAAAUGCGAUACUUGGUGUGAAUUGCAGAAUCCCGUGAACCAUCGAGUUUUUGAACGCAAGUUGCGCCCGAAGCCUUUUGGCCGAGGGCACGUCUGCCUGGGCGUCACGCAUCGCGUCGCCCCCCACAAUUCUCCGUAAAGGGAACGUGUGUUUUGGGGGCGGAUAUUGGUCUCCCGUGCUCAUGGCGUGGUUGGCCGAAAUAGGAGUCCUUUCGAUGGACGCACGAACUAGUGGUGGUCGUAAAGACCCUCGUCUUUUGUUUCGUGCUGUUGCUCGCAAGGUAAACUCUUUAAAAACCCCAAUGUGUCGUCUCUUGACGACGCUUCGACCGCGACCCCAGGUCAGGCGGGACUACCCGCUGAGUUUAAGCAUAUCAAUAAGCGGAGGA